RNAcentral lists this transfer RNA (76 nucleotides) under Bacillus thermozeamaize. Its description in RNAcentral is "tRNA-Gly". It matches the Rfam family "tRNA". Rfam says of the family: Transfer RNA (tRNA) molecules are approximately 80 nucleotides in length. Lineage: Bacteria; Bacillati; Bacillota; Bacilli; Caryophanales; Bacillaceae. The record is from RNAcentral.
GCGGAUGUAGUUCAAUUGGUAGAGCAUCAGCUUCCCAAGCUGAAAGUUGCGGGUUCGAGUCCCGUCAUCCGCUCCA